Molecule: transfer RNA, 86 nt
Filed under: Flavobacteriaceae bacterium
Lineage: Bacteria; Pseudomonadati; Bacteroidota; Flavobacteriia; Flavobacteriales; Flavobacteriaceae
Description: tRNA-Leu
Rfam family: tRNA
About the family: Transfer RNA (tRNA) molecules are approximately 80 nucleotides in length. Their secondary structure includes four short double-helical elements and three loops (D, anti-codon, and T loops). Further hydrogen bonds mediate the characteristic L-shaped molecular structure. tRNAs have two regions of fundamental functional importance: the anti-codon, which is responsible for specific mRNA codon recognition, and the 3' end, to which the tRNAs corresponding amino acid is attached (by aminoacyl-tRNA synthetases). tRNAs cope with the degeneracy of the genetic code in two manners: having more than one tRNA (with a specific anti-codon) for a particular amino acid; and 'wobble' base-pairing, i.e. permitting non-standard base-pairing at the 3rd anti-codon position.
Source: RNAcentral
GCUCGAGUGGCGGAAUUGGUAGACGCGCUGGACUUAAAAUCCAGUAGAAAGAAAUUUCUGUAUGGGUUCAAGUCCCAUCUCGAGUA